UACGUAGGGGGCAAGCGUUGUCCGGAAUUAUUGGGCGUAAAGAGCGUGUAGGCGGCCCGAUUAGUCCGCUGUGAAAGUCGGGGGCUCAACCCUCGAAUGCCGGUGGAUACUGUCGGGCUAGAGUGCGGAAGAGGCGAGUGGAAUUCCUGGUGUAGCGGUGAAAUGCGCAGAUAUCAGGAGGAACACCUAUUGCGAAGGCAGCUCGCUGGGACGUAACUGACGCUGAGACGCGAAAGCGUGGGGAGCAAACAGG
This 253-nucleotide ribosomal RNA is filed under the name uncultured bacterium. RNAcentral describes it as "partial 16S ribosomal RNA". It matches the Rfam family "Bacterial small subunit ribosomal RNA", at positions 524 to 776 of the family's 1533-position model. The record is from RNAcentral.